RNAcentral lists this ribosomal RNA (492 nucleotides) under uncultured bacterium. RNAcentral's name for it is "partial 16S ribosomal RNA". It matches the Rfam family "Bacterial small subunit ribosomal RNA", at positions 29 to 507 of the family's 1533-position model. The record is from RNAcentral.
AGUGAACGCUGGCGGUAGGCCUAACACAUGCAAGUCGAACGGCAGCACAGUAAGAGCUUGCUCUUACGGGUGGCGAGUGGCGGACGGGUGAGGAAUACAUCGGAAUCUACUUUUUCGUGGGGGAUAACGUAGGGAAACUUACGCUAAUACCGCAUACGACCUACGGGUGAAAGCAGGGGAUCUUCGGACCUUGCGCGAAUGAAUGAGCCGAUGUCGGAUUAGCUAGUUGGCGGGGUAAAGGCCCACCAAGGCGACGAUCCGUAACUGGUCUGAGAGGAUGAUCAACCCAACUGGGACUGGGGACCCGUACAGACUCCUAAGGGAAGGCGCAGUAGGGAAUAAUGGACAAUGGGCGCAAGCCUGAUCCAGCCAUACCGCGUGAGUGAAGAAGGCCUUCGGGUUGUAAAGCCCUUUUGUUGGGAAAGAAAAGCAGCAGGUUAAUACCCCGCUGUUCUGACGGUACCCAAAGAAUAAGCACCGGCUAACUUCGUG